GCGCGCCGCCCCGGAAGCCCCUUCUCCGCCCGGGCCUCGCGCGAGCGCCUUGGCUGCUCUCUGUGGCCUUCCGCGGUGGGUCAGCUCAGGGCAGCCGCAACUUCUCACAUGCCGCAAUUGCCUUUCGCCUCCACGCUCCUAUUGCACACCUGCGUCGGCCCCCGCCUUUCUAGGGGUCAGAGCCCAGUUUUGAAUGCUGGAAGUCCAAAAUUAAGGUGUCAUUGAACUUGGUUCCUGCUGAAGGCUCUGAGGAAGGAACUGUUCCAUGCCUCUCUCCUAGCUUCAGAUGCUUGCCAGCGGUCUGCAGUGUUCCCUGUGUUCAGGUUUCAGUGUUCUUGGAAAGGAAUUUUCAGAAUUCUGGGUCUGAAAGAAAUGUCUUAUUGCAACUCCUGCUACUCGAAAUGUAAUCCUAACCAACCUCCUGUGUCAGAUCACACUGUGAGAAGCCUCUGGAGUAGGAGUGUGGGUGGCGCUCUCUGCCCAAGAAUUCCUGGCACUGGAGUUCCAGGGAGAGGACCCUUAUGCAAGUAAUGCAAGUACAAAUGCCGCGUGACUCCAUGCCUUGAGGCAGAGGCUCUCCAUUUGCUUCUGUCCCUGUCCACCUUGUGCCCUAUUUUCCUGUUUCUUAAAACUGUUUUUCUCUCAGUACACUGAUCAUGGUGAGCACUGAGUAAUAUGUGGAAGUGCUGAAUCACUCGCUUCUACACCUGAGACUACUAUCACACCAUAU
This is a long non-coding RNA of Mustela erminea (ermine), 730 nucleotides long. RefSeq lists it as uncharacterized. The transcript has 3 exons. The record is from RefSeq and is a predicted model, not a curated record. Lineage: Eukaryota; Metazoa; Chordata; Mammalia; Carnivora; Mustelidae.